This 468-nucleotide ribosomal RNA is filed under the name uncultured bacterium. RNAcentral's name for it is "partial 16S ribosomal RNA". It matches the Rfam family "Bacterial small subunit ribosomal RNA", at positions 28 to 507 of the family's 1533-position model. The record is from RNAcentral.
GACGAACGCUGGCGGCGUGCUUAACACAUGCAAGUCGAACGGAAAGGCCCUGCUUUUGUGGGGUGCUCGAGUGGCGAACGGGUGAGUAACACGUGAGUAACCUGCCCUUGACGUUGGGAUAACUUCAGGUAACUGGGGCUACUACCGGAUAGGUGCCCCUGCUGCAUGGUGGGGGUUGGAUAGUUUCGGCGGUUGGGGAUGGACUCGCGGCUUAUCAGCUUGUUGGUGGGGUAGUGGCUUACCAAGGCUUUGACGGGUAGCCGGCCUGAGAGGGUGACCGGCCGCACUGGGACUGAGAGACGGCCCAGACUCCUACGGGAGGCAGCAGGGAGGAGUAUUGCACAAUGGGCGGAAGCCUGAUGCAGCAACGCCGCGUGCGGGAUGACGGCCUUCGGGUUGGAAACCGCUUUCGCCUGUGACGAAGCGUGAGUGACGGUAAUGGGUAAAGAAGCACCGGCUAACUACGUG